This 305-nucleotide ribosomal RNA is filed under the name uncultured bacterium. Its description in RNAcentral is "bacterial SSU rRNA". It matches the Rfam family "Bacterial small subunit ribosomal RNA", at positions 333 to 655 of the family's 1533-position model. The record is from RNAcentral.
GGUCCCCUACGGGACGCAGCAGUAGGGAAUAUUGCUCAAUGGGGGAAACCCUGAAGCAGCGACGCCGCGUGGAGGAUGAAGGCUUUCGGAUUGUAAACUCCUUUUGUUAGAGAAGAUAAUGACGGUAUCUAACGAAUAAGCACCGGCUAACUCCGUGCCAGCAGCCGCGGUAAUACGGAGGGUGCAAGCGUUACUCGGAAUCACUGGGCGUAAAGAGCGCGUAGGCGGGAUAGCAAGUCAGAUGUGAAAUCCUAUGGCUUAACCAUAGAACUGCAUUUGAAACUGUUAUUCUAGAGUAUGGGAGG